RNAcentral lists this ribosomal RNA (535 nucleotides) under uncultured bacterium. RNAcentral describes it as "bacterial SSU rRNA". It matches the Rfam family "Bacterial small subunit ribosomal RNA", at positions 355 to 895 of the family's 1533-position model. The record is from RNAcentral.
UAAGGAAUAUUGCGCAAUGGGCGAAAGCCUGACGCAGCGACGCCGCGUGGGGGAUGAAGGUCUUCGGAUUGUAAACCCCUUUCGGGAGGGAAGAUGGAGCGAGCAAUCGUUCGGACGGUACCUCCAGAAGCAGCCACGGCCAACUUCGUGCCAGCAGCCGCGGUAAUAGGAAGGUGGCAAGCGUUGUUCGGAUUCACUGGGCGUACAGGGUGUGUAGGCGGUUUGGUAAGCCUUCUGUUAAAGCUUCGGGCCCAACCCGGAAAGCGCAGAGGGUGCUGCCAGGCUAGAGGGUGGGAGAGGAGCGCGGAAUUCCCGGUGUAGCGGUGAAAUGCGUAGAGAUCGGGAGGAAGGCCGGUGGCGAAGGCGGCGCUGUGGAACAUGCCUGACGGUGAGACACGAAAGCGUGGGGAGCAAACAGGAUUAGAUACCCUGGUAGUCCACGCCCUAAACUAUGGAUACUAAGUGUCGGCGGGUUACCGCCGGUGCCGCAGCUAACGCAUUAAGUAUCCCGCCUGGGAAGUACGGCCGCAAGGUU